Molecule: long non-coding RNA, 317 nt
Organism: Hemiscyllium ocellatum (epaulette shark)
Lineage: Eukaryota; Metazoa; Chordata; Chondrichthyes; Orectolobiformes; Hemiscylliidae
Exons: 3
Source: RefSeq, a predicted model, not a curated record
GACACGGAGCUGCUUUCUCCGGCAGCGGCUGCGAUCGGCUUCAGAGAGCGGCGCUCAGAGCAGGGGUGUGGGAGCCUCGCUGGGAGAAAGGAGCGGAGAGAAUUCACAAGUCCCGGAUACAGGUACUCAAUAGAGUUGCCAACUGCUGGUUGGGAAGAUGGUUAGUCAGCCGCAGAAACAAAGGUCAGGGAGGUCGGGAGCCUUCAAUAAAUCCUGCCACCAGGUACUCAGGAAGUUCCUGACUCGAUAGACUUCCCAACUGCAGGGUGUCUGGUCCGUCACCACAUUGAAGACGGUUGGUCAGCCAGAGAGACAAA